AAAUGSUUCCGGGCGCCUUAAGGAUGGAUCUGCGGCAGAUUAGGGUAGUUGGCGGGGUAAYUGCCCACCAARCCAGUAAUCUGUACGGGUUGUGAGARCAAGAGCCCGGAAGAUGGAACCUGAGACAAGCUUCCAGGCCCUACGGGGCACAGCAGGCGCGAAACCUCCGCAAUGCGAGCAAUCKCGACGGGGGAAMCCCAAGWACCACUCUUAACGGGGUGGUUUUUCUGAAGUGUAAAAAGCUUCAGGAAUAAGAGCUGGGCAAGACCGGUGCCAGCCGCCGCGGUAACACCGGCAGCUSGAGUGGUGGCCGUUUUUAUUGGGCCUAAAGCGUUCGUAGCCGGCUUGAUAAGUCUCUGGUGAAAUCCUACAGCUUAACUGUGGGAAUUGCUGGAGAUACUAUCAGGCUUGAGGCCGGGAGAGGCUGGAGGUMCUCCCGGGGUAGGGGUGAAAUCCUAUAAUCCCGGGAGGGCCACCUGUGGCGAAGGCGUCCAGCUGGAACGGACCUGACGGUGAGUAACGAAA
Molecule: ribosomal RNA, 525 nt
Filed under: uncultured Methanobacterium sp.
Lineage: Archaea; Methanobacteriati; Methanobacteriota; Methanobacteria; Methanobacteriales; Methanobacteriaceae
Description: bacterial SSU rRNA
Rfam family: Archaeal small subunit ribosomal RNA
Source: RNAcentral